RNAcentral lists this ribosomal RNA (523 nucleotides) under uncultured Lactobacillus sp. RNAcentral's name for it is "bacterial SSU rRNA". It matches the Rfam family "Bacterial small subunit ribosomal RNA", at positions 46 to 525 of the family's 1533-position model. The record is from RNAcentral. Lineage: Bacteria; Bacillati; Bacillota; Bacilli; Lactobacillales; Lactobacillaceae.
GCCUAAUACAUGCAAAGUCGAGCGAAGCGGGAAACUAACAGAUUUACUUCGGUAAAUGACGUUGGGAAAAGCGAGCGGCGGAUGGGUGAGUAACACGUGGGGGAAUCUGCCCCCACUAGUCUGGGAUACCACUUGGAAACAGGUGCUAAUACGGGAUAAGAAAGCAGAUCGCAUGAUCAGCUUUUAAAAGGGCGGCGUAAGCUGUCGCUAUGGGAUGGCCCCGCGGUGCAUUAGCUAGUUGGUAAGGUAAAGGCUUACCAAGGCGAUGAUGCAUAGCCGAGUUGAGAGACUGAUCGGCCACAUUGGGACUGAGACACGGCCCAAACUCCUACGGGAGGCAGCAGUAGGGAAUCUUCCACAAUGGACGCAAGUCUGAUGGAGCAACGCCGCGUGAGUGAAGAAGGUUUUCGGAUCGUAAAGCUCUGUUGUUGGUGAAGAAGGAUAGAGGUAGUAACUGGCCUUUAUUUGACGGUAAUCAACCAGAAAGUCACGGGCUAACUACGUGCCAGCAGCCGCGGUAAAU